This 2933-nucleotide ribosomal RNA is filed under the name Bacillus velezensis. RNAcentral describes it as "23S ribosomal RNA". It matches the Rfam family "Bacterial large subunit ribosomal RNA". Lineage: Bacteria; Bacillati; Bacillota; Bacilli; Caryophanales; Bacillaceae. The record is from RNAcentral.
CGGUUAAGUUAGAAAGGGCGCACGGUGGAUGCCUUGGCACUAGGAGCCGAUGAAGGACGGGACGAACACCGAUAUGCUUCGGGGAGCUGUAAGCAAGCUUUGAUCCGGAGAUUUCCGAAUGGGGAAACCCACCACUCGUAAUGGAGUGGUAUCCAUAUCUGAAUACAUAGGAUAUGAGAAGGCAGACCCGGGGAACUGAAACAUCUAAGUACCCGGAGGAAGAGAAAGCAAAUGCGAUUCCCUGAGUAGCGGCGAGCGAAACGGGACCAGCCCAAACCAAGAGGCUUGCCUCUUGGGGUUGUAGGACACUCUGUACGGAGUUACAAAGGAACGAGGUAGAUGAAGAGGUCUGGAAAGGCCCGCCAUAGGAGGUAACAGCCCUGUAGUCAAAACUUCGUUCUCUCCUGAGUGGAUCCUGAGUACGGCGGAACACGUGAAAUUCCGUCGGAAUCCGGGAGGACCAUCUCCCAAGGCUAAAUACUCCCUAGUGACCGAUAGUGAACCAGUACCGUGAGGGAAAGGUGAAAAGCACCCCGGAAGGGGAGUGAAAGAGAUCCUGAAACCGUGUGCCUACAAGUAGUCAGAGCCCGUUAACGGGUGAUGGCGUGCCUUUUGUAGAAUGAACCGGCGAGUUACGAUCCCGUGCAAGGUUAAGCAGAAGAUGCGGAGCCGCAGCGAAAGCGAGUCUGAAUAGGGCGAAUUGAGUACGUGGUCGUAGACCCGAAACCAGGUGAUCUACCCAUGUCCAGGGUGAAGUUCAGGUAACACUGAAUGGAGGCCCGAACCCACGCACGUUGAAAAGUGCGGGGAUGAGGUGUGGGUAGGGGUGAAAUGCCAAUCGAACCUGGAGAUAGCUGGUUCUCUCCGAAAUAGCUUUAGGGCUAGCCUCAAGGUAAGAGUCUCGGAGGUAGAGCACUGAUUGGACUAGGGGCCCCUACCGGGUUACCGAAUUCAGUCAAACUCCGAAUGCCGAUGACUUAUCCUUGGGAGUCAGACUGCGAGUGAUAAGAUCCGUAGUCGAAAGGGAAACAGCCCAGACCGCCAGCUAAGGUCCCAAAGUAUACGUUAAGUGGAAAGGAUGUGGAGUUGCUUAGACAACCAGGAUGUUGGCUUAGAAGCAGCCACCAUUUAAAGAGUGCGUAAUAGCUCACUGGUCGAGUGACUCUGCGCCGAAAAUGUACCGGGGCUAAACGUAUCACCGAAGCUGCGGACUGUUCUUCGAACAGUGGUAGGAGAGCGUUCUAAGGGCUGUGAAGCAAGACCGGAAGGACUUGUGGAGCGCUUAGAAGUGAGAAUGCCGGUAUGAGUAGCGAAAGAGGGGUGAGAAUCCCCUCCACCGAAUGCCUAAGGUUUCCUGAGGAAGGCUCGUCCGCUCAGGGUUAGUCGGGACCUAAGCCGAGGCCGAAAGGCGUAGGCGAUGGAUAACAGGUUGAUAUUCCUGUACCACCUCCUCACCAUUUGAGCAAUGGGGGGACGCAGGAGGAUAGGGUAAGCGCGGUAUUGGAUAUCCGCGUCCAAGCAGUUAGGCUGGGAAAUAGGCAAAUCCGUUUCCCGUGAAGGCUGAGCUGUGAUGGCGAGCGAAUUAUAGUAGCGAAGUUCCUGAUUCCACACUGCCAAGAAAAGCCUCUAGCGAGGUGAGAGGUGCCCGUACCGCAAACCGACACAGGUAGGCGAGGAGAGAAUCCUAAGGUGAUCGAGAGAACUCUCGUUAAGGAACUCGGCAAAAUGACCCCGUAACUUCGGGAGAAGGGGUGCUCUGUUAGGGUGCAAGCCCGAGAGAGCCGCAGUGAAUAGGCCCAGGCGACUGUUUAGCAAAAACACAGGUCUCUGCGAAGCCGUAAGGCGAAGUAUAGGGGCUGACGCCUGCCCGGUGCUGGAAGGUUAAGAGGAGCGCUUAGCGUAAGCGAAGGUGCGAAUUGAAGCCCCAGUAAACGGCGGCCGUAACUAUAACGGUCCUAAGGUAGCGAAAUUCCUUGUCGGGUAAGUUCCGACCCGCACGAAAGGCGCAACGAUCUGGGCACUGUCUCAACGAGAGACUCGGUGAAAUUAUAGUACCUGUGAAGAUGCAGGUUACCCGCGACAGGACGGAAAGACCCCGUGGAGCUUUACUGCAGCCUGAUAUUGAAUGUUGGUACAGCUUGUACAGGAUAGGUAGGAGCCUUGGAAACCGGAGCGCCAGCUUCGGUGGAGGCAUCGGUGGGAUACUACCCUGGCUGUAUUGACCUUCUAACCCGCCGCCCUUAUCGGGCGGGGAGACAGUGUCAGGUGGGCAGUUUGACUGGGGCGGUCGCCUCCUAAAAGGUAACGGAGGCGCCCAAAGGUUCCCUCAGAAUGGUUGGAAAUCAUUCGCAGAGUGUAAAGGCACAAGGGAGCUUGACUGCGAGACCUACAAGUCGAGCAGGGACGAAAGUCGGGCUUAGUGAUCCGGUGGUUCCGCAUGGAAGGGCCAUCGCUCAACGGAUAAAAGCUACCCCGGGGAUAACAGGCUUAUCUCCCCCAAGAGUCCACAUCGACGGGGAGGUUUGGCACCUCGAUGUCGGCUCAUCGCAUCCUGGGGCUGUAGUCGGUCCCAAGGGUUGGGCUGUUCGCCCAUUAAAGCGGUACGCGAGCUGGGUUCAGAACGUCGUGAGACAGUUCGGUCCCUAUCCGUCGCGGGCGCAGGAAAUUUGAGAGGAGCUGUUCUUAGUACGAGAGGACCGGGAUGGACGCACCGCUGGUGUACCAGUUGUUCUGCCAAGGGCAUCGCUGGGUAGCUAUGUGCGGACGGGAUAAGUGCUGAAAGCAUCUAAGCAUGAAGCCCCCCUCAAGAUGAGAUUUCCCAUUCCGCAAGGAAGUAAGAUCCCUGAAAGAUGAUCAGGUUGAUAGGUCUGAGGUGGAAGUGUGGCGACACAUGGAGCUGACAGAUACUAAUCGAUCGAGGACUUAACCAAUUU